UUGACCUCGGAUCAGGUAGGAAUACCCGCUGAACUUAAGCAUAUCAAUAAGCGGAGGAAAAGAAACCAACAGGGAUUGCCCCAGUAACGGCGAGUGAAGCGGCAACAGCUCAAAUUUGAAAUCUGGCCCCCCGGGUCCGAGUUGUAAUUUGCAGAGGAUGCUUCGGGCGCGGCGUCGACCAAGUCCCCUGGAACGGGGCGCCAUAGAGGGUGAGAGCCCCGUCGGGUCGGCCGCCAAGCCUGUGUGAAGCUCCUUCGACGAGUCGAGUAGUUUGGGAAUGCUGCUCUAAACGGGAGGUAGACCCCUUCUAAAGCUAAAUAUUGGCCAGAGACCGAUAGCGCACAAGUAGAGUGAUCGAAAGAUGAAAAGCACUUUGAAAAGAGGGUUAAACAGUACGUGAAAUUGUUGAAAGGGAAGCGCUUGUGACCAGACGUGCGCCGGGUGUUCAGCGGGCGUUCUCGCCCGUGUACUCGCCCCGGCGCAGGCCAGCGUCGGUUCGGAUGGGGGGAUAAAGGCCCCGGGAAUGUGGCUCCUCCGGGAGUGUUAUAGCCCGGGGCGUCAUGCCCCCGCCCGGACCGAGGUUCGCGCUCUGCAAGGACGCUGGCGUAAUGGUCCCCAGCGGCCCGUCUUGAAACACGGACCAAGGAGUCGAGGUUUUGCGCGAGUGUUUGGGUGUCAAACCCGCACGCGUAAUGAAAGUGAACGCAGGUGGGAGCUUCGGCGCACCACCGACCGAUCCUGAUGUUCUCGGAUGGAUUUGAGUAGGAGCGUAGGGCCUCGGACCCGAAAGAUGGUGAACUAUACGUGGAUAGGGUGAAGCCAGAGGAAACUCUGGUGGAGGCUCGCAGCGGUUCUGACGUGCAAAUCGAUCGUCAAAUCUGCGUAUGGGGGCGAAAGACUAAUCGAACCAUCUAGUAGCUGGUUACCGCCGAAG
This 934-nucleotide ribosomal RNA is filed under the name Dinemasporium pseudostrigosum. RNAcentral's name for it is "eukaryotic LSU rRNA". It matches the Rfam family "Eukaryotic large subunit ribosomal RNA", at positions 1 to 966 of the family's 3401-position model. The record is from RNAcentral. Lineage: Eukaryota; Fungi; Ascomycota; Sordariomycetes; Chaetosphaeriales; Chaetosphaeriaceae.